CGCGGGGUGGAGCAGCCUGGUAGCUCGUCGGUCUCAUAACCCGAAGGUCGUCGGUUCAAAUCCGGCCCCCGCAACCA
Molecule: transfer RNA, 77 nt
Filed under: Escherichia coli
Lineage: Bacteria; Pseudomonadati; Pseudomonadota; Gammaproteobacteria; Enterobacterales; Enterobacteriaceae
Also listed under: 1 other name
Description: tRNA-Met
Rfam family: tRNA
About the family: Transfer RNA (tRNA) molecules are approximately 80 nucleotides in length. Their secondary structure includes four short double-helical elements and three loops (D, anti-codon, and T loops).
Source: RNAcentral